Molecule: long non-coding RNA, 620 nt
Organism: Perognathus longimembris pacificus (Pacific pocket mouse)
Lineage: Eukaryota; Metazoa; Chordata; Mammalia; Rodentia; Heteromyidae
Exons: 3
Source: RefSeq, a predicted model, not a curated record
CACAAUGAGGUUACCCCAUACUAUGGAAGGUGCUCAACAUUCCGGUGCUGGGCCAAAGUUGCUGUAAGUCAAGUCUACUAGACAUGACCAAGCUUGCUCAUUCCCAUGACUGAUACCUAUGGCUACUUUUGUAGACAAGGGCCCAGCCACUUUACUGCUAUGACAAGGCUGUAACAAUACAUCAAACAAUGUAUUUACCUCUCUUGGCCUUUAAGAAAAAGUUUGAAUAUAACCAAAGUAAUGAUAAGCAUGAAUAGAAACAUAACAAUAAAAUCCUUCAGUAUGUACUAUUAACAUAUGCUAGAAUUUUUUUUAAAAGAAGAGAACAAUUUUUCUGAACCCUCUCCUAUGGAAGACAAGACAUCAGAGAGACCUGCAUUUACAGCAGUAGAAAUUACCAUGUGCUCCUAGGCCUCAGUUUCCUCAAAUAUAAUAUUAAAAUGCCACCAGCUACCCUGCAGGGGUAUGUUACAUCAUCUAAGGGAGAUAAGACUGAUAAAUUCCUGACACUUAGUAAGGAAAAAAAUGGUAACUAGUAAACUGAGAUAAAUGGCACCUAUAGCUUUGUCUAUCUUGUCAAGAAAUAUUCAAAAGGGAAAUUAUUCAAGCUCCAGCCAAAC